RNAcentral lists this transfer RNA (69 nucleotides) under Rhynchium aff. brunneum GX. RNAcentral's name for it is "tRNA-Leu". Lineage: Eukaryota; Metazoa; Arthropoda; Insecta; Hymenoptera; Vespidae. RNAcentral also lists the same sequence under 1 other name. The record is from RNAcentral.
UAUAAUAUGACAGAUUAGUGUAUUGGUCUUAAACACCAAAUAAAAAGAUUUUUAACUCUUUUAUUAUAA